CCUGUUCUGCUGGGCCCCUCGCGUGCUGUGCGUGUUGUGAGCCACCCCAGAGGCUGAGGCCCCAUGCCUGACCAGCCGGGAGGCAGCAGGGGAUUCAGCACGGGAUUCAGAAAGGGUGCAGGACCGCUCCGCAGAUGGCUGGCCCAGACAACCAGCGCCAGAGACAGGUACCGCCGCUGUCCUUAACUUUCCUGGAUCAGCCUCCCACCGAGCCCAGAGCCUCUUCUCCAGUCUAAUUUGCUGUGGAACAGUGGGGGUGGCUUUACAGGAGAAAAGAGAGCGAGAAGGGGAAAACGGAGUGAGAAGAGUCAGAAUAUGUCUGGGGAAGGAAGGAGGCAGAAGUUAUUUCGAUCCGUUCCUUAUCCUCAGCUCAGAAGCCUACACUGGACAGUGCCCAGGUUAUUAGUGGGCCCUGGGACAUUCCUGUGUAAGCCUAGUGGAAGAAAGAGAGCUGACCACAGCCAACAAGAGGUUAAGGCCCAAAGUCAAAAUAAAGAGGAUUCUCUGGGUCUCUGAACGUAACUUCAAGCAUUCAGUGUGAAGGCAGGAGCUGGGAGAAGAGAGAAAACAUGGAAUUGUGUUUUGGAUUACUUUUUUCUGAUUACAAAAGUAAUACAUGUUCAAUGUGGAAAACCAGGAAAAUACAGAAAAGUACAAAAAGGGAUUGAAAAAAAAACCUCAACGCUUGUGAUCCCACUACCCAGAUAUAAUCAAUGUCAACAUGUUCAUUUACCAUUCUGAUGUUGUUUCAAUGCAUAUUCUUUGUCUCACCUCAUUCAUUCAUUUAUUAUUUUUUAAAUUGAAGUAUAGUUGAUUUACAACAUUGUGUUAUUUUCUGGUAUACAGCAUAGUUAUUCAUAUAUAUGUAUAUUUCUUUUCAUAUUCUUUUUUAUUAUAGGCCAUUA
Molecule: long non-coding RNA, 905 nt
Organism: Camelus dromedarius (Arabian camel)
Lineage: Eukaryota; Metazoa; Chordata; Mammalia; Artiodactyla; Camelidae
Exons: 3
Source: RefSeq, a predicted model, not a curated record